Molecule: non-coding RNA, 93 nt
Organism: Aspergillus coremiiformis
Lineage: Eukaryota; Fungi; Ascomycota; Eurotiomycetes; Eurotiales; Aspergillaceae
Source: the annotation of a GenBank genome assembly
GCCGGGCUAGCUCAAUCGGUAGAGCGUGAGACUCUUAAGGUUAUUAAAGUCCACGGUAUCUCAAGGUUGCGGGUUCGACCCCCGCGUUCGGCU